This 253-nucleotide ribosomal RNA is filed under the name uncultured bacterium. RNAcentral describes it as "partial 16S ribosomal RNA". It matches the Rfam family "Bacterial small subunit ribosomal RNA", at positions 524 to 776 of the family's 1533-position model. The record is from RNAcentral.
UACGUAGGAGGCGAGCGUUGUCCGGAUUUAUUGGGCGUAAAGCGCGCGCAGGCGGCACGCUAAGUACGCAGUGAAAUCUCCCUGCUAAACGGGGAGGGUGCUGUGUAAACUGGCGAGCUAGAGGACGGUAGAGGGGGGUAGAAUUGCUGGUGUAGCGGUGAAAUGCGUAGAGAUCAGCAGGAAUACCCGUGGCGAAGGCGGCCCCCUGGGCCGUACCUGACGCUGAGGCGCGAAGGCUGGGGGAGCGAACGGG